UCGGCCCCUAGAGGCCUAGAGGCCUUGCAGGUGUGGCUGCUGUGUCACAUGCAUGUCAGUAGGUGGCAGAGAGGAGAGAGGCUAUGUCUAUGUUCAGUGUUCUGACCUACGAACACCUGAAUGAUUAGUAGCCUAACGUU
This 140-nucleotide small nucleolar RNA is filed under the name Meriones unguiculatus (Mongolian gerbil). Its description in RNAcentral is "Small nucleolar RNA SNORA17 (ENSMUGG00000006753.1)". It matches the Rfam family "Small nucleolar RNA SNORA17". From Rfam's summary of the family: snoRNA ACA 17 belongs to the H/ACA family of snoRNAs and is predicted to guide pseudouridylation of the 28S rRNA at positions U4659 and U4598. It shares the same host gene together with ACA43. Lineage: Eukaryota; Metazoa; Chordata; Mammalia; Rodentia; Muridae. The record is from RNAcentral.